This 1360-nucleotide ribosomal RNA is filed under the name Escherichia coli. RNAcentral's name for it is "partial 23S ribosomal RNA". It matches the Rfam family "Bacterial large subunit ribosomal RNA", at positions 165 to 1569 of the family's 2925-position model. Lineage: Bacteria; Pseudomonadati; Pseudomonadota; Gammaproteobacteria; Enterobacterales; Enterobacteriaceae. The record is from RNAcentral.
CAUAGGUUAAUGAGGCGAACCGGGGGAACUGAAACAUCUAAGUACCCCGAGGAAAAGAAAUCAACCGAGAUUCCCCCAGUAGCGGCGAGCGAACGGGGAGGAGCCCAGAGCCUGAAUCAGUGUGUGUGUUAGUGGAAGCGUCUGGAAAGGCGCGCGAUACAGGGUGACAGCCCCGUACACAAAAAUGCACAUGCUGUGAGCUCGAUGAGUAGGGCGGGACACGUGGUAUCCUGUCUGAAUAUGGGGGGACCAUCCUCCAAGGCUAAAUACUCCUGACUGACCGAUAGUGAACCAGUACCGUGAGGGAAAGGCGAAAAGAACCCCGGCGAGGGGAGUGAAAAAGAACCUGAAACCGUGUACGUACAAGCAGUGGGAGCCUCUUAAUGGGGUGACUGCGUACCUUUUGUAUAAUGGGUCAGCGACUUAUAUUCUGUAGCAAGGUUAACCGAAUAGGGGAGCCGAAGGGAAACCGAGUCUUAACUGGGCGUUAAGUUGCAGGGUAUAGACCCGAAACCCGGUGAUCUAGCCAUGGGCAGGUUGAAGGUUGGGUAACACUAACUGGAGGACCGAACCGACUAAUGUUGAAAAAUUAGCGGAUGACUUGUGGCUGGGGGUGAAAGGCCAAUCAAACCGGGAGAUAGCUGGUUCUCCCCGAAAGCUAUUUAGGUAGCGCCUCGUGAAUUCAUCUCCGGGGGUAGAGCACUGUUUCGGCAAGGGGGUCAUCCCGACUUACCAACCCGAUGCAAACUGCGAAUACCGGAGAAUGUUAUCACGGGAGACACACGGCGGGUGCUAACGUCCGUCGUGAAGAGGGAAACAACCCAGACCGCCAGCUAAGGUCCCAAAGUCAUGGUUAAGUGGGAAACGAUGUGGGAAGGCCCAGACAGCCAGGAUGUUGGCUUAGAAGCAGCCAUCAUUUAAAGAAAGCGUAAUAGCUCACUGGUCGAGUCGGCCUGCGCGGAAGAUGUAACGGGGCUAAACCAUGCACCGAAGCUGCGGCAGCGACACUAUGUGUUGUUGGGUAGGGGAGCGUUCUGUAAGCCUGUGAAGGUGGCCUGUGAGGGUUGCUGGAGGUAUCAGAAGUGCGAAUGCUGACAUAAGUAACGAUAAAGCGGGUGAAAAGCCCGCUCGCCGGAAGACCAAGGGUUCCUGUCCAACGUUAAUCGGGGCAGGGUGAGUCGACCCCUAAGGCGAGGCCGAAAGGCGUAGUCGAUGGGAAACAGGUUAAUAUUCCUGUACUUGGUGUUACUGCGAAGGGGGGACGGAGAAGGCUAUGUUGGCCGGGCGACGGUUGUCCCGGUUUAAGCGUGUAGGCUGGUUUUCCAGGCAAAUCCGGAAAACCAAGGCUGAGGCGUGAUGA